Molecule: ribosomal RNA, 443 nt
Filed under: uncultured Prevotellaceae bacterium
Lineage: Bacteria; Pseudomonadati; Bacteroidota; Bacteroidia; Bacteroidales; Prevotellaceae
Description: bacterial SSU rRNA
Rfam family: Bacterial small subunit ribosomal RNA
Source: RNAcentral
UGAGGAAUAUUGGUCAAUGGGCGAAAGCCUGAACCAGCCAAGUAGCGUGCAGGAUGACGGCCCUAUGGGUUGUAAACUGCUUUUAGGCGGGGGUAAAGGGGCGGACGUGUUCCGCCUUUGCAAGUACCGCCAGAAAAAGGACCGGCUAAUUCCGUGCCAGCAGCCGCGGUAAUACGGAAGGUCCGGGCGUUAUCCGGAUUUAUUGGGUUUAAAGGGAGCGUAGGCGGGCUAUUAAGUCAGCUGUGAAAUCCGGCGGCUCAACCGUCGGCCUGCAGUUGAUACUGGUGGUCUUGAGUGCGCGCAGGGGCGUUGGAAUUCAUGGUGUAGCGGUGAAAUGCUCAGAUAUCAUGAAGAACUCCGAUCGCGAAGGCAGAUGCCCGGAGCGCAACUGACGCUGAGGCUCGAAAGUGCGGGUAUCGAACAGGAUUAGAUACCCUGGUAGU